Molecule: non-coding RNA, 502 nt
Organism: Peromyscus maniculatus bairdii (prairie deer mouse)
Lineage: Eukaryota; Metazoa; Chordata; Mammalia; Rodentia; Cricetidae
Source: RefSeq, a predicted model, not a curated record
CUCUUCCCAUUAGCACCACUUCGAGACACCCGCGUUCCCCGCCGGAAUCCAAUCCAUCCCGCUCACCUACUGGAGGGGGCCUUGCACCGGCCUGCCGCGGUUUUCUAUGCUGACUUCGAAGGGAACAUCCUGCUCACAGAGAGAGGCAGUGUAAUCAUUCUGGCUGUUUCGUGGUUGCUGUCUACAUGAUAUAGCUUCAUCUGUCAUUCCAAUCUCCACACGUCGUGACUCACUCUGAAGACUUCAGGACUGCUUUGAAGGAAACAACCUCUUGAUAUCAUGAGGAGACUUCAAUGAGUAUUAAAUGUAGAGACACAGGGAAGGUGGCCAUCCUCAAAUCAGAGAGAGCCCUUUAGGAGACAGUGGCAUUGUUGGCAGCCUGAUCCACCUUCAUCUUCAAGAAAACUAUGACAUGUCCAGAAGGCAUCUUGCUCCUUGGAGGAUUGAUGACAUCUUCUUCAGAGGUGUAGCCACAGAUGAGUUGCUCCAAUGAGUCACAUCU